Long non-coding RNA from Brassica napus (rape), 3739 nucleotides. RefSeq lists it as uncharacterized. Lineage: Eukaryota; Viridiplantae; Streptophyta; Magnoliopsida; Brassicales; Brassicaceae. The transcript has 6 exons. The record is from RefSeq and is a predicted model, not a curated record.
UUAUCUUUUUUUUUUGCUUUUCUUUCUUUUUUUACUUCUCCUCCGUCUUCAGGUCGUCUCCGUCGCUUCUCUGUUACCAGCUCGCCGUCGCGUCUCACCUUCGCCUUGGGUCUUCUUCAUCCUUGUCGACUCAGUCUUGGCUCGUGGUGGUGAUUGAGUUCAUCUUCAGGCCAGCAUACGAACUCAGAGGUAGUGCUUCAUCCUCUGCCGUCACGUCUCACCUCCGUCGCAUCUCUUGCUUCCCCUGAGUCCUACUGGAGCUGGAGCUUAAUCGCCUAGAGAACGAACUCAGAGGUAGUGCUUGAUCUAGUUCUUUAAUGUGUCGAUUCAGAUCUAAGGACUUUGUUUUUUUUUUACUUUGUUCUUGAAUGGUUGGUUUCUCACAUAAGGAUCGAGAGUUAGGGGAAGCACAUACUGAGAUCAGAGCGUUGAGGUUGUCUGAGAGGCAAAGAGAGAAAGCUGUUGAAGAGGUGUGUAGUUGUUGUUAUUAAUCUUCAUCACUUGCUUUUAGUUUCUAUAUAAUGGGUCCGAUUGGUAAUGGCUGUAGCUUUAAAUUUUUUGCUGUAGAAAAAAAUCUGUAGAUUUUUUGCUGUGGCUUUAAAUUUUACUGCUGUAGAAUUUUAUGAAAGCACUAAAAAUUUGCUUUGGAUAUUUGGCUCUGCAGAGCACUUGUACAGCUGUAGGUUAUUUCUAGAGCUGUGGCUUCAAAAAAAAUUUAAAGCUUGAUUGCUCUGAAUUUGGUGCUUUAGAAAUAAAUAAGGCUGUGGACAGCACCUACAGCAAACCUACAGCAACUACCAAUCACCCCCAAUGUCUCUCAUGUUUAUUUUGUACUUAUAGCUUACGAAUGAGCUUACUAAGUUGGAGGAGAAGCUUAAGUUAACUGAAUCUCUUCUCCAAGGCAAAGUAAUUAUUGAAAACCCUCCUUAAGCAUCAAUUCUUUUUUUUAUUUCAGCUGGUUAUUUGAUUAUGGUGAACAAUGUUGCAGAAUCUAGAAAUCAGGAAGAUCAAUGAGUAAAAGAAGGCCUCUAUGGCUGCUCAGUUUGCUGCUGAAGCCACUUUAAGAAGGGUCCAUGCUGCUCAAAAAGAUGAUGACAUGCCUCCUAUUGAAGCCAUUCUAGCUCCUUUAGAAGCUGAACUUAAGCUUGCACGCUCUGAGGUAUUUUAGUCUCAUAUUUAGUUUGUGAUUGUCUGCUGCAUUAUCAAAGAAGGUCUUAAUGGCGCUCAUAGCUUUAUUACACAUGUGAAUAUAACUCCGGUCGGUUCAGGACUUUAAACACGGCAAAGCCAUAGCCAAAGACUAAAAAGGUAUUGCAUUCUGAGACUUGGAAGCAUGCGUUUUCUGAAUUUGCUUGCAAAUUGUUAGGAUUGUUUGAUUGGUUUGAAUAUGCUUGUUUGAGUUAGGUUGUGGUUAGAAUUUUUUUUUUUUAAGAAUCCUUAUUAAGAAACUACCAUUGGAGGCACAAAAUCAAAUAGUUUCUUAAGUAAAGUUCUUAAGUCCACUAAAGUACAUUUAUAUACUUAAAUAAUCCUUAAGAAACACAAAUGGGUUUUUGUGGAUAAUCAUGCUCUUAGGUUUACCGGAUGAACCUUGAAAUUCACCCCACCCUUUAGGACCAAUCAAAGUGACACAUAGAUUAUUAAUUAAAAAACAUUAAAUUAAAUAAAAAAUAGCUACAAAAAAUAAAAACGCUAAUUUUAACGACGCUAACGCUUCCAGCUAAACCCUAAACCCUAAAUCUUAAAUUCUAAACCCUAUACCCUAAAUUCUAAACCCAAAUCAAAACCCCUAAACCCAAAUCCUAUAUCCUAAACCCAAAUUCAAACCCCUAAACCCAAAUUAUAUACUCUAAACCCAAAAAUAAGACUAUAAACCUAAACUCUAUACCCUAAACCCAAAUCCUAGAGGGUGAAGUGAAUUUAAAAGUUCUAAAAGGUGAAGUGAAUUUAAAAGUUCACCAUAGGGGAGUCAAACCUAAGUUUUGUUCUAUAUUUAAUUAAAAAAUAAAAAUAAUCGUACCGUGUUGAUUACCUUUGGAAAAACUACUUGGGAUCUUUUUUUCUUUAUGUAGUCUAUAUGUUGUACCACUCGUUUCUACUUGUUAGAUUUUUCAAUUCAAGAAAAUAUUUGGACGGUCCAAUUAACAUAGAAGUACAUUUUGAUAUAAUGAUUGGAUUGCUAAAAUAUCUGAUAAUUGAUCAAGUUGAUGAGUGAAGGGGAAUGAUGCACGCAAGCCGUUGGUUGGGUUGGUUAGAGUCAUCCUGAGAUAUUGUUAGGAAUGUUAUCAGUAGAGGAAUUUUUUUUUUUUUUUUGGGGUAACAAAGGAACUUUAAUUUGUCUUUAUGCUUCUUUUUAUAUAAUCAUGUGAUGAUGCAAGACAGCAUGAGGAUUAUUUUGGUUUGCAAAAUAAAUUGUUCGUGGAUCAUCUUUUCACAAACAGAAAACACGAUAGAUAUAAAUUUGCUUAUCAUCUGGUCUUAAAGCCUACCUCUCCUAUAGACUCAACGUCGUUCUCGUCUCCCUGCCUUUCUGCUGAGCUUUUAUUCAGUGUUUGAAUGGGAGCACAGGAUAAACACAGAUCUCCUGUCCUGUUUUUAUUUUCAUAUAUUUUAACCAUUCACACUUUUCUGUAUGAUAAAUCUAAAAAGCAGGAGGACUGCAUUGGAUACUAAUUUUUUUGUCUUCUUGUGAUAAAAGGCAGGCGUCCUGCAUGUUCUUCUUCCCGCAUAGAAAUAGGAGCUGUACAUGCAAUGCUUCUUUUAACUAACCAAUAGAUAUCAACACACACCAUUGCACUCAUUCAUUCUUGAGAAUGAGAAUAGACAUCCACGAAAUCAAGGCUGAGAAAUAUGGCAUAGAGCAAGAGUCAAAAGACAUUAAAAGAGACAAGCAUUAGUGUUCACUAUUAUAAUUGAGUUCGGCGAUAAAACUAUUACUAGACGUACCAGAGGGCUUGCAUUUCUGAACCAAAAGAUAUGACGUCAAAUCGCCGACAAAGUACAACAUUUUCUGAUGAAGAAGAUAUAAAUCUACUUACUGAAACGUCAGCACGGGUAAGUAUAUAAUAUUUUUUUUUUAAUGUUUUAGAAUAGUUAAUAAAUACUAAAAUAAAAUGAUUCAAAAUUGUGUAAAUUUAUAGAGGGAAGACAAUUUUAAAUGGAAUCCUAACCGAGAACGAGUAUUUAUUGAAUUGUACGAUCGAGCGAUUUCCAUGAGCGAUUAUCGUUUCAAAGAUCCUACACCCGCUGGUAAAGAGUUUGUCGUUCAUAAGUUCAACCAAAUAUACAAUAUCAGCGUAAACUACCGGUUCUUCAAAGAAAAACUUGAUCAGCUGAAAAGAAAAUACAAAAAGUAGAAGCAUCUAAUGAAAAAUUCUACGGGUAUUUCGGUUGAUCCUACGACAUCUGUGAUAUCUGCGUCUGAUUCAUGGUGGAAAGAUCGUGAAGUAGAUAGGAUUGUAAAAUCAUUUAAACGAAAACCACCGGAGCUUUGGGAUGUGAUGCAACGAUGUUUUGUAUUAUACGACGUCCAAUCACAGUCUCAAUACUCUUUGCACCAAAGAAGAGAAGAGUUGCUGAAUGAUGGUCAAAAUAAUGAUGAAACUGAAACAUAUGGCGGUGAUAUGCAAGACACUCAGGUCCAGGAGACACAAGAAAAUGAAGAAGUCUAUCGCGUAAAUAUUGAUGAUGAAAUGCGUCAUUCAAAUCAGUUCACCCGUGAGAAUUUGCGUCAGAAUUC